RNAcentral lists this long non-coding RNA (285 nucleotides) under Carica papaya (papaya). RNAcentral describes it as "long non-coding RNA (CPAP_LNC001685)". Lineage: Eukaryota; Viridiplantae; Streptophyta; Magnoliopsida; Brassicales; Caricaceae. The record is from RNAcentral.
AGUGUCUCGUUAGACUUUUUAUCUCUUAGAAGUAUCUGUUUCCCUUACCCUUCGGGGUAUCUGUUUCCCCCUCCCCUAUCUUGUUUGGAAAGACAUAAGAGAACCGCUCCUAGUGGAUGAUGACAUGCCUUCUGACAAGAAUGGUAUCACACUAUCUAUAGGGGUAACCCAUGCCUAAGUAAUGUCGUGACAUAGAUAUCUGUUAGGACUACUAUAGUCGGUACGACGAUGAUCAUACAUCGUACCAUGGUUUGGCCAGCUGGAAGUGGGUCUGAGUAGAUUGCU